Molecule: non-coding RNA, 83 nt
Organism: Cottoperca gobio
Lineage: Eukaryota; Metazoa; Chordata; Actinopteri; Perciformes; Bovichtidae
Source: the annotation of a RefSeq genome assembly
ACCAGGAUGGCCGAGUGGUUAAGGCGUUGUACUCAAGUUCCAAUGGACAUCAGUCCUUGUGGGUUCAAACCCCACUCCUGGUA